Molecule: ribosomal RNA, 253 nt
Filed under: uncultured bacterium
Lineage: Bacteria
Description: partial 16S ribosomal RNA
Rfam family: Bacterial small subunit ribosomal RNA
Source: RNAcentral
UACGGGGGGGGUAAGCGUUGUUCGGAAUUACUGGGCGUAAAGGGCUCGUAGGCGGCCAACUAAGUCAUACGUGAAAUCCCUCAGCUUAACUGGGGAACUGCGUGUGAUACUGGAUGGCUUGGAUUCGGGAGAGGGAUGCGGAAUUCCAGGUGUAGCGGUGAAAUGCGUAGAUAUCUGAAGGAACAUCAGUGGCGAAAGCGACUUCCUGGACCAAUACUGACGCUCAUGUGCGAAAGCGUGGGGAGCAAACAGG